RNAcentral lists this ribosomal RNA (777 nucleotides) under uncultured Neocallimastigales. Its description in RNAcentral is "partial large subunit ribosomal RNA". It matches the Rfam family "Eukaryotic large subunit ribosomal RNA", at positions 22 to 645 of the family's 3401-position model. The record is from RNAcentral. Lineage: Eukaryota; Fungi; Neocallimastigomycota; Neocallimastigomycetes; Neocallimastigales.
AUAUCAGUCAUGCAUAGCAUAUCAAUAAGCGGAGGAAAAGAAACUAACAAGGAUUCCCUUAGUAACGGCGAGUGAAGCGGGAAGAGCUCAAAUUUGAAAUCUUCAAGGGUUCUACCUUUACGAAUUGUAGUUUAAAGAAGUGUUUUCUGUUGGAGUUUCGGUAAAAGUUCUUUGGAAUAGGACAUCAUAGAGGGUGAGAAUCCCGUAUUUGACCAGUUACUUUCCAGCUUUGUGAUACACUUUCAAAGAGUCGGAUUGUUUGGGAAUGCAGUCCAAAAUGGGUGGUGAAUUUCAUCUAAAGCUAAAUACUGGCGAGAGACCGAUAGCGGACAAGUACCGUGAGGGAAAGAUGAAAAGAACUUUGAAAAGAGAGUUAAACAGUACGUGAAAUUGUCAAAAGGGAAGCGUUUGACACCAGUGUUGUUUUUCCGAAAAUCAGUUACGAAUGUUUUGUUUUUGAGGAGUUAUGACUUCAUCGGCUUGCUUCUCUCUUUACGAAACUUUCUUAAUGCACUUUUCGGUUAACAAGUCAACAUCAAUUUCUUUUGUUGUAAAAGGGUAUGAGGAAGGUGGCUUUCUUUUCGGAGAAAGUGUUUAUAGCCUUGUGCCUCUGCAAUCGGAGAGAUUGAGGUCUGCAGCGUAGAUCCUUCGGGGUUAGAUACGUUUGUGCUAAGUUAUAGCUUUUCAUAGACAACUUGUUGACUAUGUUUAGUCUUGUAGCUUACUCGCUUAUGCUAUUUUACCUACGCUUAGGAUGUUGAUCUCUCACAGUCGAGC